Molecule: small nuclear RNA, 107 nt
Filed under: Sciurus vulgaris (Eurasian red squirrel)
Lineage: Eukaryota; Metazoa; Chordata; Mammalia; Rodentia; Sciuridae
Source: RNAcentral
GUGCUCGCUUCGGCAGCACAUAUACUAAAAUUGGAACAACACAGAGAAGAUUAGCAUGGCCCCUGUGCAAGGAUGACAUGCAAAUUCAUGAAGCGUUCCAUAUUUUU